UUUUUUCCCUCUCUAAUUUUUCACAAUCCGCCAAAAAUUAAUAAAAUAUAUAACAAAAAUUAAAAAAAACAUACUUAACAAACAUGUUUCACUCUCAACUCACUCUCAGUCGACAACCAGUACUGUGAAUCAACCCACUGCCGACUGCCGACUACCGCUCCAAUUUUCGCUUCGACUACCACUCCGACUACCGCUCUAAUUUACAAUAGCCUGAUUUAUAGAAGUCACUACCAAAGCAUAAAUAAGCUUUUGUUGUGUUGAUUAGUUCAGCUUCUAGGCGUCUAUGGAAACAGGCCUGUGUUGAUUGGUUCAGCUCUAAAUUAUUGCUGUUGUCUUGUACAAUAUAGUGCUAGAUCACGCAGUUCUACCCCUCACCGUCACCUUUCUUCUCCUCCUCCUCCUCUGCCUCGAAGUUCCAAGAUCAGGAGCCUAAGAGGGACAAGCAUUUUAUUGUAUUAUGUUUGAAGACUUAGCGGUACACUAUGUGAUUUCUUUCCAUCUGCUCUAGCCGUGGUGGACGAAGUUUGGUACCUUGGGAGGUGGUAGAUAUCCCGUGGAAUUGGUGGAGGUGCGUGCAAGCUAGCCCGGAUACCACAGUUAGCAAAGAACAAAAGGAUUCUUCUUUUCAAAUAACAACCGGUCCAAUUUGAGAUUGCUUAUAUUGAGGAAGCUAAAAAUGUACUUAUCUUGUUGGGACAAUUUUCUUUUAAUCAUGCGUAAGGUGAUACAUGUUCAACCAAACCUUGUAUCAUGCUUCACAUUUAAGUUUGUAUGUUCUUCAGAACCUUGGAAUUCUCGAUAUUAGUAGGAAAGCCUAGAUUCAUCAAGAGGACUGGAUUAGAAAUGGGAUUCACAUUGGUAGUGGUAGAAAUUACAAGGAUUCAUAUUAUCUUCAAGCACAAGCAAUGUGCUAUUUGAACUUAUAAGAGCUUUCUGCAGACUUACGAGAUUUGAGAAAGAGGAGACUGGGGCGUGCUAGAUUAUCUUGAAGACAAAGGUGACCUAAAUAAAGGAGAUGGAGAAAGAAGUGAUGAAGAAAUUGACCUUACUUGAGAAGAUUUUUGAAUUUUUGAUAGAUGCUUUGAUAUCAAUCUUUUUUAUAAUGAAUUUCGUGAAACUUAUCGCCACUCGAAUUUUAUACCAUGUGGGAAAACUAAUGAACAUUUGACUUUAACAUUUUGCUUUUGGGUUUGGAUUACUAGUUUGUUGCAUAUUUUAAUUUGGAUUAUUAUUAAUGAAAGAUUUUGUUUUGA
Capsicum annuum is the source of this 1253-nucleotide long non-coding RNA. RefSeq lists it as uncharacterized. Lineage: Eukaryota; Viridiplantae; Streptophyta; Magnoliopsida; Solanales; Solanaceae. The transcript is spliced from 5 exons. The record is from RefSeq and is a predicted model, not a curated record.